This 107-nucleotide ribosomal RNA is filed under the name Sus scrofa (pig). The record is from RNAcentral. Lineage: Eukaryota; Metazoa; Chordata; Mammalia; Artiodactyla; Suidae.
GUCUAUAGCCAUCCUACCCUGAAUGUGCCUGAUCUCAUCUGAUCUCAGAAGCCCAGCAGGGUCAGGCCUGGUUAGUACUCGGAUGGGAGAUUGUGAUCUUGUUGAGU